Anopheles darlingi is the source of this 1594-nucleotide long non-coding RNA. RefSeq lists it as uncharacterized. The record is from RefSeq and is a predicted model, not a curated record. The transcript is spliced from 21 exons. NCBI's taxonomy places the organism in Eukaryota, Metazoa, Arthropoda, Insecta, Diptera, Culicidae.
AUUGAAAAAAAAAAUCGGAAUUGGUAACGGCACUUUUCAGUGCCAUCGCUCGAUAGCCUUUACCGUCUGACUUUCCACUGGACGAGAUAAUGACUGGUUAUCUGCAAAGGGUUUUGUCUUCCUAUCAUUACCCUUUCGUGCAAAACUAGUUACAUUGUUUUAAUUUUAAUAUUUUUAAAAGUAUGUACGCAAGGAAUUACUUAAAUCGUGUUUUAUGUUCUUUUCCAGCUUGGAACAAUCGUUUUGCCGAUUGACUCACUAGCUAGCUAGUAUGAAACAAGGUACACAUUGGAUUAGCUGGAACUGUAACAAACCAAAAGCGCAAACCGCGUCUUAAAUAACAUUUGGAUGCUUCCAAAAGACGAUUACCAUAAUGGUGGAAAAGCAUAAUCCGUCUGGUAAACUACAGAUUUGCCGGUUCGAUGAACGUAGCGUUGCUAAUCCACUUCGCUAUUUAUAAAAGGAAGAUAUCCAAAAUGUGGUUGUGCUUGAAAGGAGAUCAUUCAAAGUUAUUAAAUGAAAACUAUAUUAUUGUCGAUCGAGGCUUGUAAUGAUGACGAUUGCGAUUUUAAAGUUUCGUGUGGAACAUUUGUGUGUAAUUUGUGAACUAAAAGUAGUAUUCAAAAGAAGGACAACAGGGUAAUUCGGAACAUUGAAAAGCUCCCGUGAAUUGCAAAUAGGAUCGGAGAAAACAUCUAAACUGAAACAGCAGCAAAAAGGAUCUGUGAAUUACAAAUAUAUUUGGGAGAACAGCCAAAUGCAAUAGCAGAAUAGAUAUUUGGAUUCACAAAUUCUGACUCUUCAGUUAUCUUCAGAAAAGGCAAUGUUGAUAGGAAAAGCAAAAUUGCAUGAUGAAUUACAAAGGCUAAUUACGGAAAUUGGAUAAAAUCAUUUCUUUAGAUAUCGCAUUGGUUCGCUGGUAUGUUAGCGAAAAAUUGCUGAAUAAUAAGAUCACAAUAAUCAUUUGGAUUAUCGUAUUAUCUGGAAGAAAGCAAGACUUACUUACACCCUGGCAUAUGCUGUUAUUUAUCUUCAGAAUGAAAAGCAUUUCCGUGUAAAUAGGUUCCUCAUGUUGUGAUUACUGGCACGCCGCUUAUAUCAUUAUCCCUUCCAGUAUUCAUGCUAUGGAUUCGUUUCGGUACUAUAUAAUCGACAAUCCUUCGAGGACUAAAAACAUUCCGGUUUAACGAGAGUUGGGUUGUCCGAUUCAAGUCCAUAGAUGAAUUGUAUAUCAUCAUUGCAUUCUACAAAGCCUGAAAGUAAAGUAGCAUAAAAUAUCGGUACAGGACAGUCAGCAGCUUAGCGCCGUAUCUGCUGAGCAUUCAUUCCCGUUCUGCAUAACAAAGACAUAGAUGAAGUCGUCUGUAAGUAGCAUAGAUUGAAUAGAAAAGGAUGAUGUCCCUUCCAUGUUAUGUAUAAGAAGAGGAGAAUUAAUCAGGAUGGAAGGUUGUUGGACCCGCAGUCAUACCGUUUGAAGGCUUCGUCCUACAAUACUUUUCUCAUCGUUCAGGUAAAUUAUUUUGAAGUGGAACUUUAUUGAAAAACCUUAUUUAGCAAAAAAUGUUAAAUAAUAAAGCUUAGUGGAACUGCUAAA